RNAcentral lists this ribosomal RNA (529 nucleotides) under uncultured bacterium. RNAcentral describes it as "bacterial SSU rRNA". It matches the Rfam family "Bacterial small subunit ribosomal RNA", at positions 1 to 518 of the family's 1533-position model. The record is from RNAcentral.
ACGUACGUCUACGAGAAGGUUAGUUAGUAUAUGGCUCAGGAUGAACGCUGGCGGGCGUGCUUAACACAUGCAAGUCGAACGGAGUUUUAAACAGAAGUUUCGGAUGGAAGUUUAAAAACUUAGUGGCGGACGGGUGAGUAACGCGUGGGUAACCUGCCUCAUACAGGGGGAUAACAGUUAGAAAUGACUGCUAAGACCGCAUAAUAUAGCGAAACCGCAUGAUUUUGCUAUCAAAUAUUUAUAGGUAUGAGAUGGGCCCGCGUCUGAUUAGCUAGUUGGUGGGGUAAAAGCCUACCAAGGCGACGAUCAGUAGCCGGCUUGAGAGAGUGACCGGCCACAUUGGGACUGAGACACGGCCCAAACUCCUACGGGAGGCAGCAGUGGGGAAUAUUGGACAAUGGGGGAAACCCUGAUCCAGCGAACCGCCGCGUGAGUGAAGAAGUAUUUCGGUAUGUAAAGCUCUAUCAGCAGGGAAGAUAAUGACAGUACCUGACUAAGAAGCCCCGGCUAACUACGUGCCAGCCGCUGC